AUGACCCGACUUUAUUUGUACGUGCGUUUCUUUUCCAAAACCCUAGAGAGCCUCCAUCUCCAUCUCCAUUCUCCAUCUCCAUUCCAAUGAUCAUCUCCUCACAUGUCUUUCCUAAUGAAUUCCAUCUGAGCAUCGUGAAUCCUUCAUUCGUUUCAUUCAACACGGCUAUUCUGACCCAAAUCAAAGGACGCUUCUUUCUAAACCCUAGCCUCCUUCAUCUCGCUCUUCUGGAUCAAUCAUAUUCUCAUCAAAUGGUUCAAUAAUCAGGUAUGAUUCCUUUCAAUCACAGAUCCAUGUAUCUCGAUCUAAAUCUCCCCUCUCUAUUGGAAACGAAGCCAUUGUUGUCUUAACGGUUUGUAACGGUUGGAGAUUGAGAUUAGUAGAUGGUGGAUGCAUUGUGGUAAUGGAUCUUAUGGCGAGGUUUAU
Helianthus annuus (common sunflower) is the source of this 426-nucleotide long non-coding RNA. RefSeq lists it as uncharacterized. The transcript is spliced from 5 exons. The record is from RefSeq and is a predicted model, not a curated record. Lineage: Eukaryota; Viridiplantae; Streptophyta; Magnoliopsida; Asterales; Asteraceae.